RNAcentral lists this long non-coding RNA (3851 nucleotides) under Capsicum annuum. RNAcentral describes it as "long non-coding RNA (CANN_LNC001541)". The record is from RNAcentral. Lineage: Eukaryota; Viridiplantae; Streptophyta; Magnoliopsida; Solanales; Solanaceae.
GGAUGACGGAGUUUGAAUUUCAUCAAAAUCCAAAAAAAAAAUUGGUACAAAUUAUUAGCGAGGAACAUUAUCUUUAUCUGGAAUUUGAAUUUCCCUUGUUGAAAAUUUUCAAAACACCCCUGAAAAAUUCAUCCCACAUCGAUUGAGCUUAACGAGGGGACCCCCAAAUUGUUUCUAUAUAAAUCUCCUAUUAGAGGCAAAAUGGGAGGUCUGGGAGGUUUAAAAAAUCUUUUGAGCAAAACUUUCAUUUUCCUAGUUAAAAUUUUUCGUAAAAAUCGUCGGAGUUCUCGGAGUCGCGGUGAAGCCUUCCGGUGGUGAUCGAGAUUCCGUUAGUAGCUCGAGUCUCAUUUUGAUGCCUUGAAAUAGGUAAAUACAUCUUUUCUUUUUUAGCUUCAUUAUCAUUUUUUUCUUCAUCCCUUUCAUCGUAGUUUCAUAAUCGUAGUUACUGGGACUGUUUGUUGUAGAAAGCUUCGGGGGCUAUAGGCUUUUUGUGAUUAUUAUGUUAUUUUCGUUGAGUCAAUAUUCUCGACAUAGUUGUUUGGUUUACUGUUUAGUUUCGUAGUCGUUGGUUUAACUUUAUGUUCAUCUGUGGUUUCAUUAUCCAUAUUAACGUCAUAUAUUUGUGAUUGAGCGACCCAUUUUCAGGUUGUUAAAUAGGGAACUGGUGUUUAUGUUUGAAUUGGGCUCAUACUUAUUCCAUGGAGAAUUGUCGUUUUUAGUUUGUUAAAUAGGAAUUUGGUGUUUAUCUGUGAAUUGGGUUCAUACUUGCUCCAUAAAGAAAUAGCAUUUUCAGUUUGUUAAAUAGAGAAUCGAUGUUUCUAGUUUGUUAACCUCAUUAUCACGAUACGUCCAUAGCAUUAUGUUUUUGUUUGGAGUGUAAAUUUGUGAAUGUGAAUUUGGUGCUCAUUUCCCUUUUAGCAGCCUCAUUUUUUUUUUUUAAAUAUCAAUCUUUUCCUCAUAAAAAAUUUAUCGUAAUUGAUUUUAUUGGGUAUUAUGUUCUUUGUCAUGUCUCAAAUAAAAUUUAAAGUUAAUUAGUACUUUAGUGAUGUUUGAUGAAAUAGUUAAAAGAGGUUCGUUCAAGUUAGAUUUUUAAACCAUAGAGUCCACGUUAUUUACCUAAUAUGUCUAUUAUUUGCAAAUUGUUCUUAAUUAUUUUAUUACUGUCUCAACACUUGUAUUAGGAGCUUAAUAAUAUGUCUGAUUCUCACCCUUGCCGUGAAUCUCAUUAUUCGAACUACAUCCUUCGAUUUGAUUUCUCAUAGAGCUUUAGUCAAUUUUCGUCAAAGAUGCAUUGGUUUGCUUAGUUCAAUUUCAUUUGAAUAAAAGUACUUGACUUAGCUUUUGCAUAGUAAUAAUGGGUGCCACUACUUCAGAAAUCAGUAGCUUGAAAUUAAUCCAAAAAUUUAUUCAAGCAUAGAACUUUGCCUUCCUUUAUACCUUGAAUGAUGUCUUUGAUCUCAUGUAAAUCGAUCAUGGUUUUGAGAAUUUGACUUCCUCUUUGCUUUCAUACUUUUAUGUGUUAGCAUUUAUCUCGAGUUGGUUAGAAAUGUUUAAUUUUUUUUGCCUUUACUUUGAAUCUGCUUCUAUGCUCUGAGAAAUUAUUUUUCUUUUAUUUAUGUGAAAGUUUGAGAAUCUUUGAAAUUUAUUAGGCCAUAUUGGUUUAUUCCUUUCAAAUUGCAUAUGCAUUCUAUAUGCAAGAACGAUUGCGUCUUGUUUCAUCCCGAAUGAACUUUUAUGAGUUCUUUUGUAAUUUCAAUUGUAUUAACCUAUUACAAGAGUUUGAAACAAUCGCAUCUUGAUUCUUAGAAAUUGAAGUCUUUAUUUCUCAUCUCUUAGAAAUUAUAGUCUUAUGUCUUCUUUGGGAUGUGUAAAAAUUUUAAUUUUCUAGAUUAUGAUUGACCUUAAGUAUGUUUUAUUUUUGAUAAUUGGGUGCAUUUAGCCUAUAAGCUUGACUGUUAAAUGAGUAUUUGCCUGUUGAAUAUAUUCUAAUCCUUCUUCUUUUCUUUCUUGUUUUGACAUGCAAAUUGCCGAGUCUAAAAUGGACUCUUUCCAUGUGCAUUUCAAUAAUGGGCUAUCGUGGUUCAUUUCUCUUCCGAGUCGUCCCCUCGAGUCUAUCAAGUGAGAUUGAUUUUUAGACAAAGAAGUUGUUGUCGAUGGAAGAAAGGAGCCGAAACCUAUCAUUGAAGUUGCCAAGAGACUUUACAAAAUCUUCUUUGUUUAUUAUUGCUUUAUUUGUUUGUUAUUCGUUUAGUUGCUUAGUUAUUCAUUCAUUUUGGGCCUCGAAGCUCAAGUUGUAAAUUAAUAAAGGUGAAAUUGAUUUUGGGCCAAAGGGUCCUAAAAGAUAGUUUAGGAUAGGUUAUGAGACAAAAGCCCAAUGUUUAGAUUAAGACAGGUAAAUAUGGGCUAAAAAUCCAAUUGAAUAGUCUAGGACAGGUGCUGGUGGGUUUGAGCCUAAAUACCUAAAUCUCGUAAUUUUUUCUCUACCCUCUUUCUAUGCUUAUUUGCUAUUUAUUUUCUUAGAAUUGAUUAAAUUUCCUACUAAGCCGUCAAAAAUUGAUUUUAUACAAGUUUUAUCCUAAAUCACUUUCUUUUUAAAAACCAAUUUCUCUUUUUCCAAAGUUAGUCAAAGUGGUUUUCAAAUAGUCUAGGUAACCGCAAGUUAGCGGACAUUUUAGGUGACUUAAAAACCUUUCUAAAAUAUUAAUAAGAACCUUUUACCCGAGAUUUUCUUAAAAGCAUGUCUUUUUCUGUUUUUAGACUUAGGAUUUUAUUUUAAAAAUUUUUCUUAAUUUCUUUUCAAAUAAAUUAAGUGACGACUCUGUAAUUUCUUAAAAUGCUUUAAAAUUUUCUUUAAAGUUUCGAAAUAGUUUAAAACGUCAACACCAAUAUUUUUCAAUCCUUCGAAACCGAAAAAGGGCAAAACAGUAGCUACAUGGUGUAAUUAUUUAGAUUAUAUGAUGAAUUGAAAGGUGCAUUCAAUAUUUUUUAGACACAAUAUUUAAGACUUGUUUCUGUAUCUUUCUUUUGUGAAUUAAAGAAUCAAAGUGGUCAUAUUAGUGAUUAUCUUUAUCCAGAGUAUAUUAAAAUAAUUACUUGGCCAGUUUAUAGUUGGUUAGAUUAAUUUAUCAAAUCUUCAGGGGAUCCUAACUAUAAACUUUCAAGUAGGAAUCGGUAUGGAUCAUUAAUUUCUUUUUUCUUCACAUUCUAUUUCUUAUCUUAGCUACAUAAUAAUGUCAUUGCGAAAUCCUCAAUCUAUACAAUAUAGAAAUUUGUGUCUGUUCAAAGAAUGUCAUUGCAAAAUCCUCAAUAUAUACAAAUGUAGGAAUUUGUGUCUGUUCAAAGAAUAUUAUUUUGUAUUUAAAAAAAAAAGACUAUUAACAAGUGAAGCUUUGUGGAAUAACGAAGGAUUGUCCGCAAUUUUAUCUUCUUUUCUAAUGAUGGAUAGCAAUGAUGCAUUUGUACAGGUUUUAUGCUUUUUGACCAAUACUUUCCAAUUUUAAAUUCAAGCAAUUCACAAGAUCUAUAAUAAUGCAUGUGUACAGGUUUAACCGGAGCUAAUUGGACUCAAAUUUACAGAAGAUGACUAGUGAAGUUGGUUAACUGCAGACUUUCCUUCCUUCUACAUCGUUAUUUACUAUGCACUUCUAAUGUUUGCCUUUCUUCCUAUAACAGAUACCCAACUGAAAUAUGUGUUUGCCAAUUGUAGUUGCUAAAAUUCAGAUUUCACCCAAUUAUAGCAUAGCUCAUGCACACAUUGGAACAAUAACUACAUGAACAAUUUCAUUAUUUGUCUUUUAGCAAGUUUGAAAAUGCAACUGUAUAAUUUUGUUCCACAAAUGAAUAUAUAUAGU